Molecule: ribosomal RNA, 1588 nt
Filed under: Escherichia coli
Lineage: Bacteria; Pseudomonadati; Pseudomonadota; Gammaproteobacteria; Enterobacterales; Enterobacteriaceae
Description: partial 23S ribosomal RNA
Rfam family: Bacterial large subunit ribosomal RNA
Source: RNAcentral
GAAUGCUGACAUAAGUAACGAUAAAGCGGGUGAAAAGCCCGCUCGCCGGAAGACCAAGGGUUCCUGUCCAACGUUAAUCGGGGCAGGGUGAGUCGACCCCUAAGGCGAGGCCGAAAGGCGUAGUCGAUGGGAAACAGGUUAAUAUUCCUGUACUUGGUGUUACUGCGAAGGGGGGACGGAGAAGGCUAUGUUGGCCGGGCGACGGUUGUCCCGGUUUAAGCGUGUAGGCUGGUUUUCCAGGCAAAUCCGGAAAACCAAGGCUGAGGCGUGAUGACGAGGCACUACGGUGCUGAAGCGACAAAUGCCCUGCUUCCAGGAAAAGCCUCUAAGCAUCAGGUAACAUCAAAUCGUACCCCAAACCGACACAGGUGGUCAGGUAGAGAAUACCAAGGCGCUUGAGAGAACUCGGGUGAAGGAACUAGGCAAAAUGGUGCCGUAACUUCGGGAGAAGGCACGCUGAUAUGUAGGUGAAGCGACUUGCUCGUGGAGCUGAAAUCAGUCGAAGAUACCAGCUGGCUGCAACUGUUUAUUAAAAACACAGCACUGUGCAAACACGAAAGUGGACGUAUACGGUGUGACGCCUGCCCGGUGCCGGAAGGUUAAUUGAUGGGGUUAGCGGCAACGCGAAGCUCUUGAUCGAAGCCCCGGUAAACGGCGGCCGUAACUAUAACGGUCCUAAGGUAGCGAAAUUCCUUGUCGGGUAAGUUCCGACCUGCACGAAUGGCGUAAUGAUGGCCAGGCUGUCUCCACCCGAGACUCAGUGAAAUUGAACUCGCUGUGAAGAUGCAGUGUACCCGCGGCAAGACGGAAAGACCCCGUGAACCUUUACUAUAGCUUGACACUGAACAUUGAGCCUUGAUGUGUAGGAUAGGUGGGAGGCUUUGAAGUGUGGACGCCAGUCUGCAUGGAGCCGACCUUGAAAUACCACCCUUUAAUGUUUGAUGUUCUAACGUUGGCCCCUAAUCGGGGUUGCGGACAGUGUCUGGUGGGUAGUUUGACUGGGGCGGUCUCCUCCUAAAGAGUAACGGAGGAGCACGAAGGUUGGCUAAUCCUGGUCGGACAUCAGGAGGUUAGUGCAAUGGCAUAAGCCAGCUUGACUGCGAGCGUGACGGCGCGAGCAGGUGCGAAAGCAGGUCAUAGUGAUCCGGUGGUUCUGAAUGGAAGGGCCAUCGCUCAACGGAUAAAAGGUACUCCGGGGAUAACAGGCUGAUACCGCCCAAGAGUUCAUAUCGACGGCGGUGUUUGGCACCUCGAUGUCGGCUCAUCACAUCCUGGGGCUGAAGUAGGUCCCAAGGGUAUGGCUGUUCGCCAUUUAAAGUGGUACGCGAGCUGGGUUUAGAACGUCGUGAGACAGUUCGGUCCCUAUCUGCCGUGGGCGCUGGAGAACUGAGGGGGGCUGCUCCUAGUACGAGAGGACCGGAGUGGACGCAUCACUGGUGUUCGGGUUGUCAUGCCAAUGGCACUGCCCGGUAGCUAAAUGCGGAAGAGAUAAGUGCUGAAAGCAUCUAAGCACGAAACUUGCCCCGAGAUGAGUUCUCCCUGACUCCUUGAGGGUCCUGAAGGAACGUUGAAGACGACGACGUUGAUA